This 460-nucleotide ribosomal RNA is filed under the name uncultured ammonia-oxidizing beta proteobacterium. RNAcentral describes it as "bacterial SSU rRNA". It matches the Rfam family "Bacterial small subunit ribosomal RNA", at positions 202 to 644 of the family's 1533-position model. Lineage: Bacteria; Pseudomonadati; Pseudomonadota; Betaproteobacteria. The record is from RNAcentral.
AAAGUAGGGGAUCGCAAGACCUUGCGCUUUUGGAGUGGCCGAUGCCUGAUUAGCUAGUUGGUGGGGUAAUGGCCUACCAAGGCGACGAUCAGUAGUUGGUCUGAGAGGACGACCAGCCACACUGGGACUGAGACACGGCCCAGACUCCUACGGGAGGCAGCAGUGGGGAAUUUUGGACAAUGGGCGAAAGCCUGAUCCAGCAAUGCCGCGUGAGUGAAGAAGGCCUUCGGGUUGUAAAGCUCUUUCAGUCGAGAAGAAAAGGUUGUGACUAAUAAUCACAACUCAUGACGGUAUCGACAGAAGAAGCACCGGCUAACUACGUGCCAGCAGCCGCGGUAAUACGUAGGGUGCGAGCGUUAAUCGGAAUUACUGGGCGUAAAGGGUGCGCAGGCGGCUUUGUAAGUCAGAUGUGAAAUCCCCGGGCUUAACCUGGGAAUUGCGUUUGAAACUACAAGGCUAG